ACCUUACCUACCCUUGACAUGUACGGAAUCCUGCUGAGAGGCGGGAGUGCCCGAAAGGGAGCCGUAACACAGGUGCUGCAUGGCUGUCGUCAGCUCGUGUCGUGAGAUGUUGGGUUAAGUCCCGCAACGAGCGCAACCCUUGUCCCUAGUUGCUACGCAAGAGCACUCCAGGGAGACUGCCGGUGACAAACCGGAGGAAGGUGGGGAUGACGUCAAGUCCUCAUGGCCCUUAUGGGUAGGGCUUCACACGUCAUACAAUGGUCGGAACAGAGGGUUGCCAAGCCGCGAGGUGGAGCCAAUCCCAGAAACCGAUCGUAGUCCGGAUCGCAGUCUGCAACUCGACUGCGUGAAGCUGGAAUCGCUAGUAAUCGCGGA
Molecule: ribosomal RNA, 375 nt
Filed under: Burkholderia sp. 134R
Lineage: Bacteria; Pseudomonadati; Pseudomonadota; Betaproteobacteria; Burkholderiales; Burkholderiaceae
Description: bacterial SSU rRNA
Rfam family: Bacterial small subunit ribosomal RNA
Source: RNAcentral